AGAGUUUGAUCAUGGCUCAGAACGAACGCUGGCGGCGCGUUUAAGCAUGCAAGUCGAGCGGCAAGGGCCUUCGGGCCCCUAGAGCGGCGGACGGGUGAGUAACACGUGGACAAUCUGCCCCCCGGCCCGGGAUAGCCCAGGGAAACCUGGAUUAAUACCGGAUGAGACGGGACCCGCGAUGGCGGGACCCGGGAAAGGCGCUGCGGCGCCGCCGGGGGAUGAGUCUGCGUCCCAUUAGCUAGACGGCGGGGUAACGGCCCACCGUGGCGACGAUGGGUAGCCGGCCUGAGAGGGUGGACGGCCACAUUGGAACUGAGACACGGUCCAGACUCCUACGGGAGGCAGCAGCUAAGAAUCUUCCGCAAUGGGCGAAAGCCUGACGGAGCCGACGCCGCGUGAACGAAGAAGGCCGUGAGGUUGUAAAGUUCUUUUCGGGAGGGGGAACAACCGUGGCAGGGAAUGGCCGCGGGAUGACGUGAAUCCCGGAAUAAGCCCCGGCUAACUACGUGCCAGCCGCAGC
This 520-nucleotide ribosomal RNA is filed under the name uncultured bacterium. Its description in RNAcentral is "bacterial SSU rRNA". It matches the Rfam family "Bacterial small subunit ribosomal RNA", at positions 8 to 518 of the family's 1533-position model. The record is from RNAcentral.